GGUAGCCUUGUUUUCAGCCAGUGCAGAAGUAUCUUGCGACAAAUCUACAUUUUCAAUUGAUGGAUCAACUGACAUCCGUGCGAGCCAUCGAAACUUAUUAUCUUGCAAUACAAAAGUGCCUCUAUGAUUUGUUUUCAAGUUGUCUAUUUGCUUCUUGAAGACCUCAGACCAGAAGUCUUUACAGAUGAACUUUAUUGCCUC
Molecule: unclassified non-coding RNA, 201 nt
Filed under: Hevea brasiliensis (rubber tree)
Lineage: Eukaryota; Viridiplantae; Streptophyta; Magnoliopsida; Malpighiales; Euphorbiaceae
Source: RNAcentral